CAGUCGAGCGCAGGAAGCCGUCUGAACCCUUCGGGGGGACGACGGUGGAAUGAGCGGCGGACGGGUGAGUAACACGUAAAGAACCUGCCCAUAGGUCUGGGAUAACCACGAGAAAUCGGGGCUAAUACCGGAUGUGUCAUCGGACCGCAUGGUCCGCUGAUGAAAGGCGCUUCGGCGUCGCCCAUGGAUGGCUUUGCGGUGCAUUAGCUAGUUGGUGGGGUAACGGCCCACCAAGGCGACGAUGCAUAGCCGACCUGAGAGGGUGAUCGGCCACACUGGGACUGAGACACGGCCCAAACUCCUACGGGAGGCAGCAGUAGGGAAUCUUCCACAAUGGACGAAAGUCUGAUGGAGCAACGCCGCGUGAACGAUGAAGGCUUUCGGGUCGUAAAGUUCUGUUGUAAGGGAAGAACAAGUGCCGCAGGCAAUGGCGGCACCUUGACGGUACCUUGCGAGAAAGCCACGGCUAACUACGUG
Molecule: ribosomal RNA, 477 nt
Filed under: bacterium 2611-S4-01B-3
Lineage: Bacteria
Description: bacterial SSU rRNA
Rfam family: Bacterial small subunit ribosomal RNA
Source: RNAcentral